Molecule: ribosomal RNA, 765 nt
Filed under: uncultured bacterium
Lineage: Bacteria
Description: bacterial SSU rRNA
Rfam family: Bacterial small subunit ribosomal RNA
Source: RNAcentral
ACGAGUGGCGGACGGGUGAGUAAUGCUUGGGAAUCUGGCUUAUGGAGGGGGAUAACUACGGGAAACCGGUAGCUAAUACCGCGUAAUAUCUUCGGAUUAAAGGGUGGGACUUUCGGGCCACCUGCCAUAAGAUGAGCCCAAGUGGGAUUAGGUAGUUGGUGGGGUAAAGGCCUACCAAGCCGACGAUCUCUAGCUGGUCUGAGAGGAUGACCAGCCACACUGGAACUGAGACACGGUCCAGACUCCUACGGGAGGCAGCAGUGGGGAAUAUUGCACAAUGGGGGGAACCCUGAUGCAGCCAUGCCGCGUGAAUGAAGAAGGCCUUCGGGUUGUAAAGUUCUUUCGGUGAUGAGGAAGGUGUUUGUUUUAAUAGAACAAGCAAUUGACGUUAGUCACAGAAGAAGCACCGGCUAACUCCGUGCCAGCAGCCGCGGUAAUACGGAGGGUGCGAGCGUUAAUCGGAAUGACUGGGCGUAAAGGGCACGCAGGCGGUGACUUAAGUGAGAUGUGAAAGCCCCGAGCUUAACUUGGGAAUUGCAUUUCAUACUGGGUCGCUAGAGUAUUUUAGGGAGGGGUAGAAUUCCACGUGUAGCGGUGAAAUGCGUAGAGAUGUGGAGGAAUACCGAAGGCGAAGGCAGCCCCUUGGGAAUAUACUGACGCUCAUGUGCGAAAGCGUGGGGAGCAAACAGGAUUAGAUACCCUGGUAGUCCACGCUGUAAACGCUGUCGAUUUGGGGAUUGGGCUUUAAGCUUGGUGCCCGUAGCU